AGAGUUUGAUCAUGGCUCAGAUUGAACGCUGGCGGCAUGCCUAACACAUGCAAGUCGAACGGAAACGAUGCGAGCUUGCUCUCUGGUGUCGAGUGGCGGACGGGUGAGUAAUGUAUAGGAACCUGCCCAUUAGUGGGGGACAACUUGUGGAAACGUAUGCUAAUACCGCAUACGCCCUACGGGGGAAAGGGGGGGAUCUUUGGACCUCGCGCUAAUGGAUGAGCCUAUGUCGGAUUAGCUAGUUGGUGAGGUAAAGGCUCACCAAGGCGACGAUCCGUAGCUGGUUUGAGAGAAUGAUCAGCCACACUGGAACUGAGACACGGCCCAGACUCCUACGGGAGGCAGCAGUGGGGAAUAUUGGACAAUGGACGAAACUCUGAUGCAGCAAUGCCGCGUGUGUGAAGAAGGCCUGAGGGUUGUAAAGCACUUUCAAUAGGGAGGAAAACUUGCUUAUUUAUACCUGCUUACACUGACGUUACCUAUAGAAGAAGGACCGGCUAACUCCGUGCCAGCAGCCGCGGUAAUACGGAGGGUGCGAGCGUUAAUCGGAAUUACUGGGCGUAAAGCGUACGCAGGCGGAUAUAUAAGUCAGAUGUGAAAGCCCUGGGCUCAACCUGGGAACUGCAUUUGAAACUGGCUAUCUAGAGUAUAGUAGAGGUGAGUGGAAUUUCAGGUGUAGCGGUGAAAUGCGUAGAGAUCUGAAGGAACAUCAGUGGCGAAGGCGACUCUCUGGACCCUUACUGACGCUGA
This 750-nucleotide ribosomal RNA is filed under the name uncultured bacterium. RNAcentral describes it as "bacterial SSU rRNA". It matches the Rfam family "Bacterial small subunit ribosomal RNA", at positions 8 to 749 of the family's 1533-position model. The record is from RNAcentral.